Molecule: long non-coding RNA, 544 nt
Organism: Ochotona princeps (American pika)
Lineage: Eukaryota; Metazoa; Chordata; Mammalia; Lagomorpha; Ochotonidae
Exons: 3
Source: RefSeq, a predicted model, not a curated record
CCCAGUCUACUGGUGUUAUUGUCAGAAGACAAUCAUGUAAGAAGGGAUUUAACUUGCUGUUCUGCCACUGACAAGGAGGAAAGGGCUGAAGGACAAGUUGCUCAUUCAUGGCCAAAGAGUUCUUGAGGCCCUGAGUGUGUGAGGGAAGACACAACGCAAAGGGAGCAAGAAAGCAGAGAAGACUCCACACAGGACAGAGAAGGAGAGUGGUCACCUACACCUGUCUUUGCAAGAUACACAACCUCAGUCCAGAGGCUGAAAAAAAAAGAGGAACUACAAACUUCCAGAUAUCAACAACACAUAGGAUCUUUGCUGUAAAGACGAUGAAAUAUGGUUAGACACCUUAGAGUCAAACCAGCUUUGGAAAGGACAAAGCAAAAGCUUAAUGGAGAGAACUGACUUAUCCCCAAACAAGUCAUCCCGUGUUCAGUCCAGGAGAAUGAAGAGCUCGCUCAUCUCCCAGAUUGGUACACAAUCGGCCUUCCACAUCCAUGGCCGUCACCUGGUGCCUCCCAGGACGUCAUCAGCAGAGGGCUGGAGGAGG